This 70-nucleotide transfer RNA is filed under the name Cordylochernes scorpioides. RNAcentral describes it as "tRNA-Gly". Lineage: Eukaryota; Metazoa; Arthropoda; Arachnida; Pseudoscorpiones; Chernetidae. The record is from RNAcentral.
GCUUUUGGUUCCAGUGGUAGAAUGCUCGCCUGCCACGCGGGCGCCCCGGGUACGAUUCCCAGCCGAUGCA